UCAAACUUGGUCAUUUAGAGGAAGUAAAAGUCGUAACAAGGUUUCCGUAGGUGAACCUGCGGAAGGAUCAUUAGCGAAGUUCGGAAUGCAUGUUUGGUGUUGAUGCUGCCCAGCAAUGGGAUGUGCUCGCUCGAAUGUGUGUCCCUUCUCUAUCCACCCCAUUGUGAACCAAGUGUGUGAGCCGAAGAGAAAUCGGAGGCUCGCAUGCAAACCCUUAACAUACCCCAAUGAAGUAUCAGAAUGUACCUUGCGUUAACUCGCACAAAUAUAACUUUCAACAACGGAUCUCUUGGCUCUCGCAUCGAUGAAGAACGCAGC
RNAcentral lists this unclassified non-coding RNA (318 nucleotides) under uncultured fungus. RNAcentral describes it as "partial contains small subunit ribosomal RNA, internal transcribed spacer 1, and 5.8S ribosomal RNA". The stretch from base 1 to 73 matches the Rfam family "Eukaryotic small subunit ribosomal RNA", at positions 1759 to 1831 of the family's 1831-position model. Lineage: Eukaryota; Fungi. The record is from RNAcentral.